AAGAAAUAAUGGUCUUCUUCAUUCAACUUUACAUCACCAUUGGUGUCCCACAGAAGAAAGCCUUAUACAAGUCUUGAUGGUUAGAAACGUCACAUUUUGGGUUUCUGGAUUCUCUUGAGCGUGCCCUGCCCCUCCUCCUCUCCUUCUGCCCUCUUGAGAUGAAAGGAUAUUGAGAAGAUCAGAGAAGAACUGUACAGUUGACCUCCUUUAAGCUGCCUCAGUCAGCCCUCUUCUUUCUGCUCAACACACUCCCAUCUAUAAGCUGCUGAGGAUUCUGGACCAUCGUGAUCUAAUAGAAGCCCUGACACACCCAAAAACCUGAUUCACGAGACGGUCUGAUUAAAGCUGCAUUGGUUCUAAUGAAGGAUUCAGAUCUGAGAAACAUGAACGUUAAACAACGGUAAGAAUUUUUUUCAGGACUCUAACAUGUUGUUCUCUUAUGUUUAG
Long non-coding RNA from Triplophysa rosa, 447 nucleotides. RefSeq lists it as uncharacterized. The record is from RefSeq and is a predicted model, not a curated record. The transcript has 3 exons. Lineage: Eukaryota; Metazoa; Chordata; Actinopteri; Cypriniformes; Nemacheilidae.